This is a long non-coding RNA of Corvus hawaiiensis (hawaiian crow), 551 nucleotides long. RefSeq lists it as uncharacterized. NCBI's taxonomy places the organism in Eukaryota, Metazoa, Chordata, Aves, Passeriformes, Corvidae. The record is from RefSeq and is a predicted model, not a curated record. The transcript is spliced from 2 exons.
CCCUCACUCGGGCCGGCACCGGGCGGCGUGCGGGGCUCAGCGCGGCCGCCCCGCGCCCCCCCGGCCCCGCAGCUGCGCCCGUCCGUCAGCGCCGCCCCCCCGGGCGCGGCCGCCGGGCGCUGCCCCUUUAAGGCAGCGCAGCCCCGCGCGCAUUCCAGCGGCCGCGUCACCGUUCCGGGAAGCGGGUGGCGUCAUCCCGCCAUCCCUCCCGCCGGCCAUCCCGCGGCGGCGGGGCGGGCCCUGGGGAACAAAGGCGGGAUAAAAAUAGAAGCUGCCAAGUCCGUCUCUCAAGAGCAGCCUGAGGAUGUUCCGUAGCCUUGGUGGUCGUGGACUCUCUGUGAAGAAAGACUGAAGCCUGGGACUGUUUACACUCUCCUGCUGCAGCUGGCCUUGUCUUUUUUCUAAGAAUCAGAUAAUGUGAAAGGAUAUUGGGCCACAUGUGUAAGCUUUUAAUAGUAGUAUUUGGUAGACAAGGCUUACACUCUUUACUGUAGCUCUUUGUAUUUCAGUACUGAGUAUUAAAAAGCUACUGCGUCCUCUUUGAUCCCUUC